Onychostruthus taczanowskii (white-rumped snowfinch) is the source of this 872-nucleotide long non-coding RNA. RefSeq lists it as uncharacterized. Lineage: Eukaryota; Metazoa; Chordata; Aves; Passeriformes; Passeridae. The transcript has 4 exons. The record is from RefSeq and is a predicted model, not a curated record.
GCUGAAGUUGUGCCUUCAGAGCCAAUAGAGUGGAUUUGUGUGUCCCACAUGACUGUGUUUCCCCUGUCUUUCACAUGGGCAGUAUUUAGUUCAAUUCAGAACUGCAGAUAGUAUAGCGUGCAGAGCAGCAAUGGGAUGUCUGAGCACAAGUAGCUGACUUCCAGGCGACUUCAGGAAGCACAUUUGCACAUUUCUCCUGAAUUAUCUGGGAUUCUGCACCCUUGACAUUCUCCGACCCUCCCUGUCGCUGCAGAAGGAGACAGCGACCUGCACAGCACAACAAAACUACAAAUCACCACAGAGCUACAGAUCAGCAAUGAAGAGAGCUGAGGGCAAUUUGACCAACAUCAUCUGUGUCAGUUCCCCAGAAGUCGAUGAAACACGUAAUCAGGUCUCCAAGACCACGAGACUCAGAAGAUCACUGUGGGCCAACCCAUUCUGUUGACAUGACACAAAGUACAGCCCAGUUUGGUAUUCCUUUGGCCCUGAAGGACUCUCAGAUCAGAUGAGCAUCCAGGUGUCAGCUGGUGUAAACCCAGAUGCCACUGACGUCAAUGGAGCUGUCAGUUUACUCCAGCUGAAAAUCUGAUCCCAAGUGUGCUACUGCCAUUUUUAGACGCUGCCAAUGGAAUUAACUUUUCAAGACAAUUAAAAAAAACCACAUCCACACAACAUUGCAUUUCUUCCUGUCCCCGAGUGUUUAACUGGAAGUCUGUUGACAGACUGUGGGAGAGGGCAAGUGGGAGGUGGAAGUAGCGAACAACUGCAUCCAUGAGAUAACUUUGCAGUAUCAGUAUGAACACUGUUCCGUUGUCUUCCUUUAUACAAACAAAUAUUUGGCUUCAAAAAGUUUUAACUCCACCUACCACUAA